RNAcentral lists this ribosomal RNA (468 nucleotides) under uncultured bacterium. RNAcentral describes it as "partial 16S ribosomal RNA". It matches the Rfam family "Bacterial small subunit ribosomal RNA", at positions 28 to 507 of the family's 1533-position model. The record is from RNAcentral.
GACGAACGCUGGCGGCGUGCUUAACACAUGCAAGUCGAACGGGAAGGCCUUGCUUUAGUGGGGGGUCGAAUUGGUGAACGGGUAAUUACCACGGGGUUAGCCUCCCCUGGAUUUUGGGCCAACUUCAGGAAACUGGGACUAAUACCGGAUAGCUGCUCCUGCUUAAGGGUGGGGGUCGGAAUGUUUCGGCGGUUGGGGAUGGGCUGGCGGCUUAUCGGCUUGUUGGGGGGGUAGUGGUUUACCAGGGCUUUGACGGGUAGCGGGCCUGAGCGGGUGACGGGCCACAUUGGGACUGAGAUGCGGCCCAGACUCCUACGGGAGGCAGCAGUGGGGAAUAUUGCACAAUGGGCGGAAGCCUGAUGCAGCAACGCCGCGUGCGGGAUGACGGCAUUCGGGUUGUAAACCGCUUUCGCCUGUGACGAAGCGUGAGUGACGGUAAUGGGUAAAGAAGCACCGGCUAACUACGUG